UACGUAGGCAGCGAGCGUUGUUCGGAGCUACUGGGCGUAAAGGGUGUGUAGGCGGUUGUUUAAGUUUGGUGUGAAAUCUCCCGGCUCAACUGGGAGGGUGCGCCGAAUACUGAAUGACUUGGAGUGCGGGAGAGGAGAGUGGAAUUCCUGGUGUAGCGGUGAAAUGCGUAGAUAUCAGGAGGAACACCGGUGGUGUAGACGGCUCUCUGGACCGUAACUGACGCUGAGACACGAAAGCGUGGGUAGCAAACAGG
Molecule: ribosomal RNA, 254 nt
Filed under: uncultured bacterium
Lineage: Bacteria
Description: partial 16S ribosomal RNA
Rfam family: Bacterial small subunit ribosomal RNA
Source: RNAcentral